RNAcentral lists this ribosomal RNA (537 nucleotides) under uncultured bacterium. RNAcentral describes it as "partial 16S ribosomal RNA". It matches the Rfam family "Bacterial small subunit ribosomal RNA", at positions 355 to 885 of the family's 1533-position model. The record is from RNAcentral.
UGGGGAAUUUUGGACAAUGGGGGAAACCCUGAUCCAGCCAUCCCGCGUGUGCGAUGAAGGCCUUCGGGUUGUAAAGCACUUUUGGCAGGAAAGAAACGUCGCGGGUUAAUACCCCGCGAAACUGACGGUACCUGCAGAAUAAGCACCGGCUAACUACGUGCCAGCAGCCGCGGUAAUACGUAGGGUGCAAGCGUUAAUCGGAAUUACUGGGCGUAAAGCGUGCGCAGGCGGUUCGGAAAGAAAGAUGUGAAAUCCCAGAGCUUAACUUUGGAACUGCAUUUUUAACUACCGGGCUAGAGUGUGUCAGAGGGAGGUGGAAUUCCGCGUGUAGCAGUGAAAUGCGUAGAUAUGCGGAGGAACACCGAUGGCGAAGGCAGCCUCCUGGGAUAACACUGACGCUCAUGCACGAAAGCGUGGGGAGCAAACAGGAUUAGAUACCCUGGUAGUCCACGCCCUAAACGAUGUCAACUAGCUGUUGGGGCCUUCGGGCCUUGGUAGCGCAGCUAACGCGUGAAGUUGACCGCCUGGGGAGUACGG